CCUACGGGUGGGCUGCAGUGGGGAAUAUUGGACAAUGGGCGAAAGCCUGAUCCAGCCAUGCCGCGUGUGUGAAGAAGGCCUUCGGGUUGUAAAGCACUUUCAGUGGGGAAGAAAGCCUUGGGGCUAAUACCCUCGAGGAAGGACAUCACCCACAGAAGAAGCACCGGCUAACUCCGUGCCAGCAGCCGCGGUAAUACGGAGGGUGCGAGCGUUAAUCGGAAUUACUGGGCGUAAAGCGCGCGUAGGCGGUCUGAUAAGCCGGUUGUGAAAGCCCCGGGCUCAACCUGGGAACGGCAUCCGGAACUGUCAGGCUAGAGUGCAGGAGAGGAAGGUAGAAUUCCCGGUGUAGCGGUGAAAUGCGUAGAGAUCGGGAGGAAUACCAGUGGCGAAGGCGGCCUUCUGGACUGACACUGACGCUGAGGUGCGAAAGCGUGGGUAGCAAACAGGAUUAGAUACCCGUGUAGC
RNAcentral lists this ribosomal RNA (465 nucleotides) under Vreelandella stevensii. RNAcentral's name for it is "partial 16S ribosomal RNA". It matches the Rfam family "Bacterial small subunit ribosomal RNA", at positions 338 to 794 of the family's 1533-position model. Lineage: Bacteria; Pseudomonadati; Pseudomonadota; Gammaproteobacteria; Oceanospirillales; Halomonadaceae. The record is from RNAcentral.